This 477-nucleotide ribosomal RNA is filed under the name uncultured bacterium. Its description in RNAcentral is "bacterial SSU rRNA". It matches the Rfam family "Bacterial small subunit ribosomal RNA", at positions 365 to 832 of the family's 1533-position model. The record is from RNAcentral.
UUCGCAAUGCCCGAAAGGGUGACGAAGCGACGCCGCGUGUGGGAAGAAGGCCUUCGGGUUGUAAACCACUGUCGGGAGUUAAGAAAUGCAAGGAUAUUAAUAGUGUCUUUGUUUGACUAAGGCUCCGGAGGAAGCCACGGCUAACUCCGUGCCAGCAGCCGCGGUAAUACAGAGGCGGCAAGCGUUGUUCGGAAUUAUUGGGCGUAAAGAGCACGUAGGCGGCUAUGUAAGUCGGUUGUGAAAGCCUUCCGCUCAACGGAAGAACAGCAUCCGAUACUACAUGGCUUGAGUGCGGGAGGGGAGAGUGGAACUUCUGGUGGAGCGGUGAAAUGCGUAGAUAUCAGAAGGAACGCCGGCGGCGAAAGCGGCUCUCUGGCCCAUAACUGACGCUGAGUGUGCGAAAGCUAGGGGAGCAAACGGGAUUAGAUACCCCGGUAGUCCUAGCCGUAAACGAUGGGCACUAAGUAGAGGGGUUUU